GAUGAACGCUGGCGGCGUGCUUAACGCAUGCAAGUCGAACGAUGAAGCCCAGCUUGCUGGGUGGAUUAGUGGCGAACGGGUGAGUAACACGUGAGUAACCUGCCCUUGACUCUGGGAUAAGCCUGGGAAACUGGGUCUAAUACUGGAUAUGACUUCUCAUCGCAUGGUGGGGGGUGGAAAGAUUUAUUGGUCUUGGAUGGACUCGCGGCCUAUCAGCUUGUUGGUGAGGUAAUGGCUCACCAAGGCGACGACGGGUAGCCGGCCUGAGAGGGUGACCGGCCACACUGGGACUGAGGCACGGCCCAGACUCCUACGGGAGGCAGCAGUGGGGAAUAUUGCACAAUGGGCGCAAGCCUGAUGCAGCGACGCCGCGUGAGGGAUGACGGCCUUCGGGUUGUAAACCUCUUUCAGUAGGGAAGAAGCGAGAGUGACGGUACCUGCAGAAGAAGCGCCGGCUAACUACGUG
RNAcentral lists this ribosomal RNA (466 nucleotides) under uncultured bacterium. Its description in RNAcentral is "partial 16S ribosomal RNA". It matches the Rfam family "Bacterial small subunit ribosomal RNA", at positions 28 to 507 of the family's 1533-position model. The record is from RNAcentral.